UGGUACUCUGUUAUAUAGUCCUACAGGGGAGAGGUCUGUUGAUACUCUGUCACAGUCUUACAGGGGAGAGGUCUGUUGGUACUCUGUUAUAUAGUCCUACAGGGGAGAGGUCUGUUGGUACUCUGUUAUGUAGUCCUACAGGGGAGAGGUCUGUUGAUACUCUGUUAUAUAGUCCUACAACUCUGUUAUAUAGUCCUACAGGGGAGAGGUCUGUUGGUACUCUGUUAUAUUGUCCUACAGGGGAGAGGUCUGUUGGU
Oncorhynchus keta (chum salmon) is the source of this 257-nucleotide long non-coding RNA. RefSeq lists it as uncharacterized. The record is from RefSeq and is a predicted model, not a curated record. The transcript has 3 exons. NCBI's taxonomy places the organism in Eukaryota, Metazoa, Chordata, Actinopteri, Salmoniformes, Salmonidae.